Molecule: ribosomal RNA, 253 nt
Filed under: uncultured bacterium
Lineage: Bacteria
Description: partial 16S ribosomal RNA
Rfam family: Bacterial small subunit ribosomal RNA
Source: RNAcentral
UACGUAGGGUGCAAGCGUUAAUCGGAGUUACUGGGCGUAAAGCGUGCGCAGGCGGUGAUGUAAGACAGAUGUGAAAUCCCCGGGCUCAACCUGGGAACUGCAUUUGUGACUGCAUCGCUGGAGUGCGGCAGAGGGGGAUGGAAUUCCGCGUGUAGCAGUGAAAUGCGUAGAUAUGCGGAGGAACACCGAUGGCGAAGGCAAUCCCCUGGGCCUGCACUGACGCUCAUGCACGAAAGCGUGGGGAGCAGACAGG